Dalotia coriaria is the source of this 863-nucleotide long non-coding RNA. RefSeq lists it as uncharacterized. The record is from RefSeq and is a predicted model, not a curated record. Lineage: Eukaryota; Metazoa; Arthropoda; Insecta; Coleoptera; Staphylinidae. The transcript is spliced from 2 exons.
CAGCACAAUAUAUGAGCCGCUUAUUUUGAAAGUGACCUAACUCCGUUUUUCAAUUUUUUGCCGGUUACCAUGGUUACAUGUACAACUUCAUGUUAUUUAUCAGUGACGCACUUCAGAUUGCUUAUAUUCAGAGAAAAUACGGUACAUUUUUUACACAUAGGUUUUCCGAAUUAAUUGAAUAACUGACCCGUGUGGUUUGAAAGUGGCCUAACUCCAUUUAUAGUUACAUCAAGGUAUUUACUAUUGAUAAUGUCGGAAAGCAGCGAUGAAGAAAUUAUUGCAAGCAUGAGGAAGAACCGAAGAAGACCACUUAGUUCAGAUAGUGAAAAAGAAAUAGUAAUUAAUAAUUUAAAAAAAGCGAAUAAGAAAAAGAGUUAUAAAAUAAUAUUCCUCGUCAGAGGAUGAAGAUUCAAAUAACAAUGGAGAAAAGAUUGAUGCACCAUAUAUCCAAAAAGUGCGAAAGAUAAAACGGAAUUCAGGAAAAAGAUAUUGCUGUUAAACCGGAAGUAUUCUUCAUGAAAAAAAUUUCGAACCAGAGAUUGUGGUUGUCGGAAUGCGUGCACAAAAAAUUAUAAUGAAGAAGAAAGAAAGAAUAUUUUUGAGAAGUUUUGGGGUUUGGCAGAUUUUAACAAACAAAAUGUAUUACUUCACGAAGCUGCCUGUGAAACGAAGACGUUUUUUUUUCUUCAAUUUGAAACAUCUUAAAUUAUGUUGAAUGGACUUGGGCAUCUUCAAAUUUUAUAAUGAAUCUGGCUGUUAAUUUUGAAAGUGGCCCAACUCCAUUCUCGAUAAGGAAACGCACGUUAUUUACUUAAUAAUUGCCACUACUUUAACAGGAACAGUAAAUUUAACAUCCUAAGAUA